Molecule: non-coding RNA, 81 nt
Organism: Podarcis lilfordi (Lilford's wall lizard)
Lineage: Eukaryota; Metazoa; Chordata; Lepidosauria; Squamata; Lacertidae
Source: the annotation of a GenBank genome assembly
GAUAGCUCAGUUGGUUAGAGCAUGGUGCUGAUAAUGCCAAGGUUGUAGGAAAGGCAGUUUGGCCCUGACGCUAUAGCAGCA